AGUUCUCUCUCUCACCUGGGUUCUCUCUCUUUUUCUCGUGGGUUCUCUCUCAUCUGGGUUCUCUCUCGUGGGCUCUCUCUCUCUCUCUCUCCUAGGUUUUCUUAUUUGGGGAUUUAUCAAUUUCAUAGCCAUGGAUUGAUAACCCAGGUACAAGAAAGGAGACCAUAACGAGGGUCUGACUCUGGAUUUGUGUCUCAUGAUCUCUACCUUCAUGGGUAUUUCAGUGCUUCCAUUAAGUUA
This is a long non-coding RNA of Humulus lupulus (European hop), 240 nucleotides long. RefSeq lists it as uncharacterized. The transcript is spliced from 2 exons. The record is from RefSeq and is a predicted model, not a curated record. NCBI's taxonomy places the organism in Eukaryota, Viridiplantae, Streptophyta, Magnoliopsida, Rosales, Cannabaceae.